GCAGCCUGGCCCCACCGCUCUAUCGAGCGAGCGUGCAAACCGUUGCUCCGAUCCCGCGGUUCCUCUCGUACUGGACGGGAUAGCCGUAGGCGAGUUGACGUUGCCGACGCCCGCCUAAGGUCGGCCGAGGAAGCAGACCUGGAGCAGCACUA
Octopus sinensis (East Asian common octopus) is the source of this 152-nucleotide long non-coding RNA. RefSeq lists it as uncharacterized. Lineage: Eukaryota; Metazoa; Mollusca; Cephalopoda; Octopoda; Octopodidae. The transcript is spliced from 3 exons. The record is from RefSeq and is a predicted model, not a curated record.